Molecule: ribosomal RNA, 606 nt
Filed under: Scherotheca mausoleana
Lineage: Eukaryota; Metazoa; Annelida; Clitellata; Crassiclitellata; Lumbricidae
Description: Scherotheca sp. m DFM-2022 partial large subunit ribosomal RNA
Rfam family: Bacterial large subunit ribosomal RNA
Source: RNAcentral
CCUGCCCGGUGACUAACGUUCAACGGCCGCGGUAUCCUAACCGUGCAAAGGUAGCAUAAUCACUUGCCCAUUAAUUGUGGGCUAGAAUGAAAGGAUUAACGAAAUAAAAACUGUCUCUAUAAGUAACUUAAAAAUUAAUCUCUAACUGAAGACUGUUAGAUUAUAUCGAAGGACAAGAAGACCCUAUAGAGCUUUAUCCAAUUAAAAACUAAAAAUUUUUUUUACGGAUUUGGUUGGGGCGACCAGGGAAGUAUUCAAUCAUCCCUAUCAAAAAGAUACAUAAAUCUUGCUACUGACCCUUAACAAAGAUCACAAGACCAAGCUACCUUAGGGAUAACAGGCUAAUCUCGCUAAAGAGUCCUUAUCAAUAGCGGGGUUUGGCACCUCGAUGUUGGCUUAGGGAAUCUAUGUGGCGCAAAAGUCACAUAAAGAUGGUUUGUUCAACCAAUAAUCCCUACAUGAGCUGAGUUCAGACCGGCGUGAGCCAGGUUAGUUUCUAUCCUCGAUAUUAUAACCUAUUUAUAGUACGAAAGGACCUAAAUAAGGAUAAUAAUUAUACUCAAAGAAUAAAUAUAAUAUAACUUAAAAAGAUCAACACAUAAAAUA